RNAcentral lists this ribosomal RNA (253 nucleotides) under uncultured bacterium. Its description in RNAcentral is "partial 16S ribosomal RNA". It matches the Rfam family "Bacterial small subunit ribosomal RNA", at positions 524 to 776 of the family's 1533-position model. The record is from RNAcentral.
UACGGGGGGGGCAAGCGUUGUUCGGAAUUACUGGGCGUAAAGGGCUCGUAGGUGGCCAACUAAGUCAGACGUGAAAUCCCUCAGCUUAACUGGGGAACUGCGUCUGAUACUGGAUGGCUUGAGUUUGGGAGAGGGACGCGGAAUUCCAGGUGUAGCGGUGAAAUGCGUAGAUAUCGUAAGGAAGACCAGUGGCGAAGGCGGGUCUCUGGACCAUAACUGACACUGAGGUGCGAAAGUGUGGGGAGCAAACAGG